Molecule: ribosomal RNA, 460 nt
Filed under: uncultured bacterium
Lineage: Bacteria
Description: partial 16S ribosomal RNA
Rfam family: Bacterial small subunit ribosomal RNA
Source: RNAcentral
CCUACGGGAGGCAGCAGUGAGGAAUAUUGGUCAAUGGGCGGGAGCCUGAACCAGCCAAGUCGCGUGAAGGAAGACGGCCCUACGGGUUGUAAACCUCUUUUGUACGGGAAUAACGCGCGUCACGUGUAGCUCUUUGCGUGUACCCGAAGAAAAAGCAUCGGCUAACUCCGUGCCAGCAGCCGCGGUAAUACGGAGGAUGCGAGCGUUAUCCGGAUUUAUUGGGGUUAAAGGGUGCGGAGGCCGGAGUGCAAGUACGCGGGCAAAUUUCCGGGCUCAACCCGCGCAUUGCUGUGGAAACUGGAGGCCUUGAGUGCGCGAGAAGUAGGCGGAAUGCGUGGUGUAGCGGUGAAAUGCAUAGAUAUGACGCAGAACUCCGAUUGCGAAGGCAGCAUACUGACGCGGAACUGACGCUGAUGCUCGAAAGCGUGGGUAUCGAACAGGAUUAGAUACCCGUGUAGUC